This 308-nucleotide long non-coding RNA is filed under the name Gossypium barbadense (sea-island cotton). RNAcentral describes it as "long non-coding RNA (GBAR_LNC023226)". The record is from RNAcentral. Lineage: Eukaryota; Viridiplantae; Streptophyta; Magnoliopsida; Malvales; Malvaceae.
UUGCCCUGUUUGUGUCUCUGCCUUGCGUGUUUGUUCCUUUCCUUGCAGGUGGAGCAGGUGGAGCGACGUCAGAAGGGCAGGUGAUCGGCGGAGUUGGUGGCGGUGGCAGAGGGCAAGUGGACUAGGUGCGGCGGCUAGGGUUAGGGGUUAGGUCUAAUUAGUGUUUUGGGCUAUUUGGGCUGUGGGUUAGUUUGGGCUGUUAAUUAGGGUAAUGGGCUGGUUCAAAUUUGUUGUUUUGGACUUUAUGGACUGUAAUUUGGACUUUUAUUUUGUGUUUAAUUGGGCCUCGGGCAAAAUGGCCUGUAACA